GAAGCUGCGGCAGCGAACGUAUCACUUAAAGCGAUUCAGCGGGUUACGAUUGACGGAGCGAAGCGACGUCAAAGCGUAUACAAAGUCGAGUCGGUUUAAGGAUACGUUCGUUGGGUAGGGGAGCGUUCUGUAAGCCUGCGAAGGUGGCCUGUGAGGGUUGCUGGAGGUAUCAGAAGUGCGAAUGCUGACAUAAGUAACGAUAAAGCGGGUGAAAAGCCCGCUCGCCGGAAGACCAAGGGUUCCUGUCCAACGUUAAUCGGGGCAGGGUGAGUCGACCCCUAAGGCGAGGCCGAAAGGCGUAGUCGAUGGGAAACGGGUUAAUAUUCCCGUACUUGGUGUUACUGCGAAGGGGGGACGGAGAAGGCUAUGUUGGCCGGGCGACGGUUGUCCCGGUUUAAGCGUGUAGGUGUGUGUUCCAGGUAAAUCCGGUUCACUUUAACACUGAGGCGUGACGACGAGGCACUACGGUGCUGAAGCAACAAAUGCCCUGCUUCCAGGAAAAGCCUCUAAGCAUCAGGUAACAUCAAAUCGUACCCCAAACCGACACAGGUGGUCAGGUAGAGAAUACCAAGGCGCUUGAGAGAACUCGGGUGAAGGAACUAGGCAAAAUGGUGCCGUAACUUCGGGAGAAGGCACGCUGACACGUAGGUGAAGUGAUUUACUCACGGAGCUGAAGUCAGUCGAAGAUACCAGCUGGCUGCAACUGUUUAUUAAAAACACAGCACUGUGCAAACACGAAAGUGGACGUAUACGGUGUGACGCCUGCCCGGUGCCGGAAGGUUAAUUGAUGGGGUCAGCGCAAGCGAAGCUCCUGAUCGAAGCCCCGGUAAACGGCGGCCGUAACUAUAACGGUCCUAAGGUAGCGAAAUUCCUUGUCGGGUAAGUUCCGACCUGCACGAAUGGCGUAAUGAUGGCCAGGCUGUCUCCACCCGAGACUCAGUGAAAUUGAACUCGCUGUGAAGAUGCAGUGUACCCGCGGCAAGACGGAAAGACCCCGUGAACCUUUACUAUAGCUUGACACUGAACAUUGAGCCUUGAUGUGUAGGAUAGGUGGGAGGCUUUGAAGUGUGGACGCCAGUCUGCAUGGAGCCGACCUUGAAAUACCACCCUUUAAUGUUUGAUGUUCUAACGUGGACCCGUGAUCCGGGUUGCGGACAGUGUCUGGUGGGUAGUUUGACUGGGGCGGUCUCCUCCUAAAGAGUAACGGAGGAGCACGAAGGUUGGCUAAUCCUGGUCGGACAUCAGGAGGUUAGUGCAAUGGCAUAAGCCAGCUUGACUGCGAGCGUGACGGCGCGAGCAGGUGCGAAAGCAGGUCAUAGUGAUCCGGUGGUUCUGAAUGGAAGGGCCAUCGCUCAACGGAUAAAAGGUACUCCGGGGAUAACAGGCUGAUACCGCCCAAGAGUUCAUAUCGACGGCGGUGUUUGGCACCUCGAUGUCGGCUCAUCACAUCCUGGGGCUGAAGUAGGUCCCAAGGGUAUGGCUGUUCGCCAUUUAAAGUGGUACGCGAGCUGGGUUUAGAACGUCGUGAGACAGUUCGGUCCCUAUCUGCCGUGGGCGCUGGAGAACUGAGGGGGGCUGCUCCUAGUACGAGAGGACCGGAGUGGACGCAUCACUGGUGUUCGGGUUGUCAUGCCAAUGGCACUGCCCGGUAGCUAAAUGCGGAAGAGAUAAGUGCUGAAAGCAUCUAAGCACGAAACUUGCCCCGA
RNAcentral lists this ribosomal RNA (1706 nucleotides) under Salmonella enterica. RNAcentral describes it as "partial 23S ribosomal RNA". It matches the Rfam family "Bacterial large subunit ribosomal RNA", at positions 1196 to 2802 of the family's 2925-position model. The record is from RNAcentral. Lineage: Bacteria; Pseudomonadati; Pseudomonadota; Gammaproteobacteria; Enterobacterales; Enterobacteriaceae.